GACCCAGUAGUGGAUGGUACCGCGCCCGCCUCUUAUAGUAGAAAAUGCAAGCGUGAGCUCCUGGUUCGACUGCAGGCUGGGUCA
Mycena rosella is the source of this 84-nucleotide non-coding RNA. The record is from the annotation of a GenBank genome assembly. Lineage: Eukaryota; Fungi; Basidiomycota; Agaricomycetes; Agaricales; Mycenaceae.